CUAUACUUGGAAGUUGCCUCUCUUGGAGUGUUCAGUGAGCCUUCAUCCUCUGAAAGUGGUAAUCUCUUUUUAAUGCAGUGGAGCCAGCUCAGACGUGGCACAGCUGCAUGGCUGCAGUGAGGUCUGAAGGGACAGAAAUGGCAGCAGGGUGUCUCUGGUACAAAUAGACAUACAGAGCUGCUUCCACUUUGCUCCUGUUCUGCUUGGUUGAACCACAAGAGUAUUUACACAGACAUCAAGAUAACAAAAAAGGGCAGUGAUGUUUUAGCCGAUAUCUGCCUAUUUUACGGAAAAGCAUCCAGCAGCGGCAUGAAUGUGCACCAGAUGGGUGGCCCGGGGGCCUCCCUCGUUCAGCAGUGCCUAUGGGAGAAGUAGGGGAGAGGAUCUGCUGCAGGCAGUGUGAGCAGGGAGCUGAUGCCAGCAGCAGCGCAGUGGUUCGGCCCACGCUCAGUCUGUGUUGUGCUGCCCAAAUUGCCCACAAGGACCAAUCCUAUUGCCUCUGCCAGUUCUAUGGUGCUGGCCAGCUCUGUGCAUUCCCAGGAUAGCAACAGCGUUAUUGCUGUAUUUUAUGAAGCAGCAUAUUUUGCGGUGCUCCAUCCCGUUCCCCUGAAUCAGCCUCAUCCCCUGUCAUUCAUUAUCUUGGGCCAGGAAGCAAAGCAGAGAUCAUAAUUCAAUGCCCCCCUUUUGGGAGUGGAGAUUUUAGCACCCAGUUCUGCAGUGCAGGCACAUUCUCUUUGGGAUCAAGACUGGAGUCUUUAGGGAGAGGCAGAAGGCAAUAAGAUUUUAUCUUCAUUUUGAGUCUGUUUAAGGUUUAUGUUUAUGAAUGUAUAUAGUUUUCCGAUUGGGAGAAAAAAACACAGCUACAAAUCAAACUUUGAUCCCCUGGAGUUACACAGAGGCAAGCACUAACAAGCAUCUCGUGAACUAAGAAUUGAAUCUCAUCGCACUCCAACCAAGCAAGCUUGAGCAAUUAAGAUUAAGGGUGGAAAAAUGAGACACUGGAAUUAAGGCUUAUGUCUGUAUAUGCUUCCUGCAUUAGCCAUGGAGCCCAAAUGAAGAUUUGUUUCACACCGCAGAGAAAGAACCACGAUGGAGGCUCUGCUUUAAAGAAGCACUGUGAGGGCCAUCUCUGCCAGCUGUGUGGGCUGCAGCACGGACAUGCAGCUGGCGAUGGGAGUGGAGCAGAGCAGAGGGUUGGGCGGCACACAGCAUGCCGGGUGCAGCCACCGACUGCAGUGAGCAUCCAGAGCGGGUGUUUGGUAGCUCAUGGCAUGAGAGUGUUUUGCUGCAGUUCGCUCCAUUAUUAUUAUUAUUUUUUGAUGAUAUUCUUCAGUUCCUUUGAUGUGUGAAAUGUGUUUUUCUUAGCUGCGUUUUAUAGAAAUGCUGCAGACUUCUCUUGACCCACUGCGACUUAAGCAGAGCAGCACGGCAUGCUAAUCGUCUGCUUAACGACCGCCUGCUAUGUCUGCGGAGCUCCUCCCCAGGCACUGCACGCCAUUCCAGGCAGUGCCCGCUGAUCUCCUGCCGCGUUGGGCUCCUGGGGAUGGAUGUGACCGCACGUGGGGAUGGCCCCUUUUGCAACCUGCUGUCCCCACCACACAGACGUUUUGGAUCACAGCUCUUCCAGUAUUCAUGAUUUCAUCAUUUUCCCUUAAUUUCUGAUGGUGCGAUGCUAUCUAGAAUAAAAUCUUUUUGGAGGAUAACCUCUUGAAGGUCUGUACAGAAAGACAAAGAAGAAGGAAGCUCCUGGAGAUGCAGGCAGAAAACCUCAGGCAGGUUGUGAUUUACUUGUAUCAAGAUCCGCUUCACAGUAACAUACAUGUUUUCUAAACACAUGCCUGAGUAUCCUGAUGUU
This is a long non-coding RNA of Gallus gallus (chicken), 1855 nucleotides long. Lineage: Eukaryota; Metazoa; Chordata; Aves; Galliformes; Phasianidae. The record is from Ensembl.